AGGCACCCUCACAAAGUAUAUUUUUAAUUAAAAAUAUACUUUCCAUCAAGUUCGACUUUGUUUCUCCCUCUUCUCAGUAAAGAUUCAAGUAUUUGAAGGAAUCUGGGACUGAAAGAAUGUGAGUACACAGAAGUGGGGGAAGCAGCUCUCCGGGGCAGGGGACAAACUGAAAUUGGCUGCAGAAGACAGAGGGAACUACACGAACGUGGGCAGAUGAAAGCCCUACUGCACAUUGUGCUCCACCUGACAGAAGCAGCUGUUGCUCCCAGGAACAGAAUGGAAGAGAGGCAGGAACAGCCACAGCAGCCAGAGCUCCCCUCAGACCCCACCUUCUGACAGCGGGAGCCUGCCUUCUGCCUGGCGUUUCCUGAAUCCUUCUGCGCCUCACGCAGACGAUCCACGGCUCCCGGAGUCUCCGAGCAUGGGUUCUUGACUGAUGUGCCGGCUCCUUGAGACCGCUCUUCAGGAAGGUGGCCCAGGACACCUGGGUAAGAAUGUUUUUCUCUGCUCAAGUCUUGUGCACACUCUGCCACAGCUGAACGUGGGUGUGUUUCUCUCCCACAUCUCGGCUCCUGAUCUGGAGGGUGGUGGUGGGCGGCGCAGAGCAGGGAGGUUGCCUGCUUGAAACACAACUGUAGGAUUUUAACAUACUUCUUCUAAGGGCGGUGUGAGGUUUUAUGUUUGUUUGUUUUAUUUUGUUUUGUUUUUUUAUAAACUGAAUAUAUUUUUAUCCCCGGGGGCGGUGUGAGGUUUUUAAGGUGAAGCUGUUUGUUCAGUGGAGGCCUAGGUGUGGUAAUUCUUAGUGAAACUGAUUCAUCUACAUCUUCCAAGACUGGAAGAAAUUCAAAGACAGAGGCCACCAGAGGCAUCCAGGAGGCAGAAACCAGUCCAGGAGGACCUGACAAGGAGAUCCCUCUGUGGGGAGGGAACUGAGGAAGGAAGCUGUGGAAGAGGGUGGAAGACCCGGAGCGUUUUGUUGGUUUUUUCCCCACCCAGUCCCUGCAAGUGAGACUCAACUCCCAUCCUUCUCUGGCCUCCAUCAAAUGCAGGACCUGGUGCAGCUUCCAUGAGAAAGCUUAACUGUCACUCGUAUGGACACAGAGAUGGUCAAGGUUCUGAGGAACAGAAGUCAAAGGUGUUGCUAUGGCCGACGGAAGGAGAACACGCACCAACCUGAACCCCAGAGAAGCAGGUGUCAGCACCCGGCCCCCGCUCACCCUGACAUCUGGGAGAGCAGAGCACCAGCGCCACAAAAGCUUGCCCCCGACUUGGUGCCACCCCGUCGGGGAACAGGGAAGGAAAGAACGUAGUGUCGCUCCACAUCACCAUCCAUCUCUGAGAAAGCGGGAUGUCAAGUCAUCUUCUACCAGUUGACCAGACGCCACAAGAAAGAACCCAUAAGCAGAGUAUUCUAGACAGGCAGGUAUCUGUGUUCAGGAACAUUCUGCCCCCCUCGUCCAGCACGGCUCAAGUGGCUUGUCAUGUCUACUCAGUGAGAACAAACACCACGACAAGUACUAGGAAGCCCAGUGCACACACGUGGAAUCGCAGCCCCUCAUGAGUCAAAAUUCUGCCCCUCAGCCCCUGCCGCACCAUCUGCUUCCCUCCCUGACAGAGGGGUCUUCUACUCUCCACAAGGACUGUCCAUGGCAACAGCACCACCAGGAGAUGGGAGUGUCUGGAGUCCUACAGCGGACCCGGAAGAGUGAUUUCUGAGAGAAGCACGACCCCCACG
This is a long non-coding RNA of Neogale vison (American mink), 1735 nucleotides long. RefSeq lists it as uncharacterized. The record is from RefSeq and is a predicted model, not a curated record. The transcript is spliced from 5 exons. NCBI's taxonomy places the organism in Eukaryota, Metazoa, Chordata, Mammalia, Carnivora, Mustelidae.